This 202-nucleotide ribosomal RNA is filed under the name uncultured Streptococcaceae bacterium. RNAcentral's name for it is "partial 16S ribosomal RNA". It matches the Rfam family "Bacterial small subunit ribosomal RNA", at positions 524 to 722 of the family's 1533-position model. Lineage: Bacteria; Bacillati; Bacillota; Bacilli; Lactobacillales; Streptococcaceae. The record is from RNAcentral.
UACGUAGGUCCCGAGCGUUGUCCGGAUUUAUUGGGCGUAAAGCGAGCGCAGGCGGUUAGAUAAGUCUGAAGUUAAAGGCUGUGGCUUAACCAUAGUACGCUUUGGAAACUGUUUUAACUUGAGUCGCAACGCAGGGGAGAGUGGAAUUCCAUGUGUAGCGGUGAAAUGCGUAGAUAUAUGGAGGAACACCGGUGGCGAAAGC